GUGAAUAUUCUGAUUUAAUGUUAUUAUUUUUCGAGGAUGUUUGCAUGGCUCUUGCUAGGGAAGUCUAGGUUUAGCCCCAGCAGCGUGGCAGAAUCUUGUACUUGGCGGUGUAAAAUGAUUACUAGCCUGUUGGGUUGAAUCCAGUGGCGUCAGUUUGGUUUUCUGAGCCGAAUCUCGGUGUAUGUCAGGUAUAUCAGGAAGGCUCUCUGGCUUUUGCUUUCUAAACCGUAAACUGAGCAGAAAUUCAUGGCUGUAGCAUAUCCUUUUUAUAUUUG
This is a non-coding RNA of Pelobates cultripes (western spadefoot toad), 275 nucleotides long. Lineage: Eukaryota; Metazoa; Chordata; Amphibia; Anura; Pelobatidae. The record is from the annotation of a GenBank genome assembly.